AGCCACCAGACCUGUGGUUCUGUGCCGUGGCCCUGGGAAACCAGUGCCCAGAGGCUUGGAAUCCAGGUCACUGCCACUGUAGCAGUCAGAGUUGUCUCACAAGGCAACUGAGGUCAGCUGACACCUGACUUUGGGAGCCUCCCCCAAAGCUUUUACAGCUCCAGGCAGUGAAAUGCACCUUGCCCUGACUCCUCAGACACCAGAAGCAGCAAGAACCUCGGGCUCCCCCGAGCCCUGAGACCGGGAAGUACAUUUGACCUAAAAUCAAAAAGGAUCCAGAACAAGAAAGUUGUUGAUUCUGACAGUGGGAAGCAGCCACUCAGGGAACAGCCUGGGCAGCCAUGGCCUCUGCAGGACCUGAGAUCUGAGAGCCGGGGGACUGUCGCAUGCUGUGGCCUCACUGUGGUGACAUGUAUCCUUCUGUCAGGAGUGGGAGGGUGCUGGGCCGCACGGGGCCGCUGCUCUCCAUGGCCCCCUUCGUCCCUCCCCAUCUGUGCCCCUGCUUUGUUGGUUUGUGGGGCUGUUUUUGUGGCUGUGCGAAAUCUGGAGGUGAAAUCACCUCACAGCAGGGACUUGCUGCUUAAAACAAGAAAAUAAAACCCGCUCCCCAGCAUCGAAACCAGCGCAGUACAGGAGCAGAGAACAUUUUACACUGGUCACUGGUGGCACAGACCACGGCUGCUUUCCCACCCUGAGCACCAUGCAGCUCUGCCUGAUUUCUGGAGGAGCCAGGGUAUGUGCCAUCCUAGAGGAGCCUCACGCUGCCCCCAAGUCUGAGACCAAGGACUCCCCGGGGCGACGCUGAGACACACGGCCCCUGAAACCUUCCCGGAGCCUGCAGAUGCCUCAUCCUGCAGGAACCAGCUGGCUAGUGUUCGACAGUGCUGCUGUGGUGAGCACACAAAACGUCCUUCUUUGCAGACCUAGGACAGCCGCAGUGGGGAGGAAGACUUUCGGGAAGACAGAGGAGGCCUGCAAAUGAUUCCAACCACUAGGAAUCAAGCUUCCAGCAUCCAAAAGGUCGUUUCACUUCCCUGGAACCUUACUUGAAAGUAAAAUGGAGAAGUAGUUUUAAAUUUUUAUAAUCAAGACCCACAUCUUCUACCACCUGGACUUCCUUUACCACAGUGUGCAUGCCAGCCACUGUGGCAGCCAGAGCCCCCUAGUUCCAGCCCGCUUUUUCCAGAAACGGUCUCUGAAUCACCCGGCUCAGCUCCUGAGCCCCGCAGGCCUCUCUGCUUCCUUCCUGCUUCAGCCCUCUGGUGCUCUCGGACACCGCCACAUACCUGAUAAAACCAGCUGCAACUGAGCCACAAAAACCACAGAUGUGGUCUCUGCUGGGGAACCGACUGCUGAUAUUAGGGAGUUGUGAACCCGAGGUAGAGCCCCACCAAGAUGUGACAUCAUACACAUGCGGUUUAUACACAGUCGUGCUCAAGCAAUCUUCAAGUCCGUCACUCUCACGCCUAGGCCAAGGGUGGCAAACCUAUGGCAUGUGUGCCACAGCAGGCACACAGCCCUCUCCAUCCAUAUAUGAGCCAGCUCCCCCCAGCAGCUGAGCUCACUUGCUGAAGUCCGUUUUCAGCCACAGGAGCAGUGAAGAUGUGAGCCCAGGAUGCUCCUCGGGUUCAGCUGAUGCCCUCCUUGGCAGGAGGCUCAGGUAAGGAAUUCAUGCUUAUAGCAGCUUCUUCAUAGGAAGUCACUGGUGGUGACAGCAGGCACACAGCCCUCUCCAUCCAUAUACGAGCCAGCUCCCCCCCAGCAGCUGAGCUCACUUGCUGAAGUCCGUUUUCAGCCACAGGAGCAGUGAAGAUGUGAGCCCAGGAUGCUCCUCGGGUUCAGCUGAUGCCCUCCUUGGCAGGAGGCUCAGGUGAUCUAGAGUUCCUCUUAUUAAAGUGGUCCCACCUUCUUCCAACUAAUUGCCAUGGCAACCAUUUUCAAGAUGCAGAAUUCACCCUCCAUCCUGGGAUGCUGCUUCGGCACUGGCUGCCACUCUUAAAACCACCGCCUCUCCUUUCCAGGCUAGAUGGUGCUUUGCAGACAGGGUUAGGAUCUCUUUUCUCUGUCUCCCUCCUAGGGGUGCUGAUUCCUGCGAGACCCUGCUCAACAGAACCCCCCUUCCUCAAGUUUCUCUGACAAGACUUUGACCCCACAGUCCCGCCUAGAUUCCCAGCCAGAUGCGCACUGCACAAAACCGAAACAACCUGAACCAAACAGUCGGUCCACGUGCUGGAGCAGCAGGAGGAACUGGCUGGGCUACACCAUUUCUCAUAAUGCCCUGAGCUCAGUUUUCACUCUCAGUAGAGAGGUUUUUGCAUCCUUCCUUAUAAGUGCAUAUUCUCCGUAAAGAUGAUGAGUUCCAAGAAGAUACUGUAUGAGCCAGCUUUCCUGUGGUGGGGAUACAACACCCAACACCCAAACCUUAACACAGCACAGGUGCCACUGGGCUCGCUGCUGAGGACCUUCAGCCUACCUGCAGCCAGCUCCACAGCUGGGGUUGCCGGGAGGCAAUGCAGAGAGCAGGAGCAGGUGUGCCCUGAGGGUGCUUCAGAGACCUCCCUGGCCACUGUCAGGCCAAUCCGGUUGGCAGGUAGGAUUAGCUGUCAUGAUAACCACGGAGGGGUUAAUUCCGAGUUCCGGUUACGAUAGUUAUUGAGGGGGGGUCCUCCUGACUAGCUUGAGGGACACCUAAAGAAUUGGUUCAGACAAGAUCUGGAUAGUGUGAGAAAGAUGGCAAUCCUACGACCCUGCCUCCAGUGGGGCCGAAGCACUGGAUCCCAGUUCCUGCUGGGAGAAGCACCCCAGAGAGGGCACACAGCGCGAGGAGCAGGACAGGAGAUAAGCCUCUGUUGUUAGAAGGCACUGAGAUUCGGGGGAUGCUUGUUAUUGCCAGAUGCAGACAAGAAGUUCACUCUUAAGAACUACUUUAUGGAUUAUUUCUAAAGUUGUUUGCUGGCCUGAGGCAAAGAAUUGGUUUAGAUAACGAGCAGACGAGAAGUUGGAAGAGAACAUGUAUCCGAGUACCAUCCAGAGAAGAUCAGUUCUGCCCACAGGCACAGGAGGUGAGCUGCAGGCACCCAGGGCCAGAGGCGCUUGAAGCUGCAGUGCCCUCCACCAGGGAGGGCAGAGGACAUCCUGUCAGAGUCGGUGUGGAGUGUGCAGUCGACGGCAACAUGCACACGGGCCCGGAGCCAGCGCCCCCAGACUUCCCCUCCUUCCCCCCAUUGCUUUUUGGAGAGAUCUCAACCCACUGGGGACAUGGGGGUGGUGUGUGGGGCUCAGGUUCUCAGGGAAUUUGAAUCAUGAAAUUCUGUUCCAUCCUCACUUGGGUAGAGAAAUGCUGUCGGGGGCAGAGGGUCCCUGAGACUCGGAUAACUGCCGAGGGCACCAGCGGAAGCGGUGGAGUUCGGGGGCCAGGUCCCCACCAUGGGUGGACCGGGCUUCCUGAGCAGUGUGGGGACACUGGGACAGGGACCGCACAGCACCAGGCUGGUGAGGACAGGACCUCAGGCUCGCUGGGCCACCAGUCAUGUGUGCUAGGAAACCAGAAGACAUGUACCCUUGACAUCAUGAGGACUGCCCCAGGAACCCCAGAUACCACGACAGAUGUAUUCACAAGCUGCCGCUCUGAAACCUGUCAUAGCUGCUUUAACCUGUGCUGUCCUCCCACGCAUCAUUUCCACCAUCUCUAGAUUACUAACAAUGCCUAAUACGAUCUAAGUGUUAUAUAAACAAGCAUCACACUUUAUGGUGCGGGGAGCAAUGACAAGGAAGACGUCUGCACAGCUUGGGUACAGACACAAGUCUUUCAAACAUUUUUGAUCCAACAAUGUAGAACUCACUGCUGGGGGGCAGGGAGUCAGUUACAGUUAUGUAACAGGACAACACCACCUUUCUUCCCCCAGAAGACCUUGCCUAUGCCACAGUGACCACCUGGCCAACAACCAAGAUGGAAAGGCCUAUAGAAACCCUGAGGACCCCUGGACCCUCCCGAGGACUCCCUUCAAGUCAAGUGUGAGACCCAAGGAAGUCCUCAUGAUAGGAUUUCAGUCACCUGCAGCUGAGCCAGGGCCUUCUGGGCACAGUGCCCCUGCCCGUCACAGCCCCAGGCUUUGCUCACAAGGUGGCCAUGGUCCCAGUCAGGCUGGAGGGGAACAGGGACCCCCACAUUGGGAGUGCCAGCCAGAGGUAUGCUUCAAAGCAGGGAACAGCAGCCCCUGCACACACUCUGCAAAGAGCUCAGAAGGCCGGGAGCUCCGGGAAGGGUGAGAGUGGCUAUUUCUAAUGGGCCUAUAUUUAGUGCUUCCUGCCAGCAGCUAUUUCGAGCUGUGUGUGAAUGAAAGUGACGUGGAGUGUGGAAAGAAGCAGUGAAGAGGUAACCGAAAAAAGGAAAGGGAUAGCAGACAGGUCCAGGGCACUAUUCCAGCUUAAGUCUCACUGAGUAGAGAAAGCAUAGCCGGAAAAGAAAGCAAGCCCGAAGUUUUAGCUCAGGCAGGGGCAGCAGCACCUGGGUCGCCCGGGAGUGGUUACCUCUGGGUGAACAGAGCUGCGUUUCCAGUCAGCCGCUCACUCCGGGUCUCAUUUAACCCUGAAAGACAGCACCAUGACUCCCAGCCACCCGCAGGACGUGGCAGAUCAGCAUCCCAUCACAGCCUGAUGGCUCUGCGGCUGUGAUCCGCUGUCCACAGGGAAGCUCCACUGCCCACAGCCAGGCCAGGCAGCACCACGCCGCAGCCCAAUGGAGCUCGGGUUCCCGACUUGACUGACAAAAUCCUCAUUAGGAGAAAUCUUCAAUUAAUCGAGUGUUCUGGGUAAUUUAACUUAUGGCUUAAUUAAGCAGUAACCAGAAAAACUUUUCCAUUAAAACGCAUUGUCCCGAAAUAGAUAAAGCACACUUGUUUGGCUUUGUGAGCCCAAUUUAAAUUUUCUUUGAUAAUUAAGUCACUGCCUCCGGAAACCACUUCUCACCACCCUGUAACACACCCUGCUCUGUGCUGUCAGAUUUUACAUCUUUCCCAGCUUUCUCCUAAGUAAGGCCACAGAGGGCAUCUCUAAGGAUAUGACUGUUUAUUUUAUGUUACAUGUUCGUCUCAUAUGUGCCUAAAGUGAAAUAUUGGGCCAACUGGGUUAUGAAAUACCCGAUUCUGAUGCUUCCAAGAACAUUACCAAAGGGCUCCAUGAGCUUCCAUCACGUCAGUUCUGGCCUUGUCCCUUAGGGGAGACCCCACCCAGCGACUUGGGCACUGUCCUGGGAAGGUCGCAGCAUGCAGCUGCCACAGCCUGCAGCCCACUGCUACCAGGAUUCUGAGGAACAAAGCAAUGUAGAUUCCUGGAGCACACAACAGGCUUCUGGGUCCAGCUUUGGGGACCCAUUGCCACCUAGGUCCCGCCUCCUCAUGGCAGGAGCCACUGUUUCAUUGGUCAGGAGAUAAAUCCACCCCUCAGGAGAGCACCUCCAGGGUCCAACCACCCUUCACACAUAGGGGACACUGUAGGUCGAAACCAUAGCAGAUACUGUAUUGCAGCCACUCUUUCUUUGUAAGUAGGCAUGAGCUCUAAAAUAAUAAUACUACCAUAAUUCUUAAACCAGCAACAUGGCCGCUCAUCAUCAAGGAUAAUAAAUGUUCUCAGCGGUGUGCUGUACCCUUGCCCUGCACGGUAGCUUUGUUUACUUUGCACCAGCACUGCCACACACACGUGAGAAGGUGCUGCCCCGCAGCGUGAUGAUAGCAAUCGUGUUAUAGCACAAGAGGAGUUUUUCAGUUCUGUUAGAACCCUACGAGACCACUGGCACAUGUGCAGGCGCUGCUGACUAGAACAUAGUGUGACUCAGGACUCUGUACCCUUGUAAUCUCUGAGAGUGACAUGCCAGUUGAUGGGACUGGCAGCAGACUGGUGACUGGUGAGCAGAGAAGGCUGCAGGAGGGAGGGUGCUGGAAGGGGAAGCCGGGAACCCGGAGAAGAAGGAAGCAGAGAGGCAGCUCUGGGAGAAGAAGCAACACACUGUCCGUGGUGAGAGAGAAGAGAAGAAAACCCUGGUGGUCUGUGUUGUAACCUGUUAACCAGUUCCUUUCGCUACCUUGCUGUUCUGUAAAGCACCGACCAUUCCCCCCCUCCAACUGCUCCAUAAGAGAUGAUAAAAUUGUUUGUCCUGAUAGAGACAUCUGUUCCAAGAAAUGACCCACCACAAAAACCACAACCUUGUACUUACGUGCGUGAAAAGUCCCCAGGUGAAGCUGUACCCAAAACUAUGCUUGAGAGCUUUCCAAAGGACACACACCAGCACAAACACCCUCCCUCACUUUGCGGAUUUUGCCUUCAAAAGUUUCAGACUCCUUCACUCGGGGUGCUCAGUCUAGCAACUGUGGGACUGACACCGCUGGGUACCAGCUAAAAUAAAGCGCUUCUCUUUUUCUAUUU
Molecule: long non-coding RNA, 6420 nt
Organism: Cavia porcellus (domestic guinea pig)
Lineage: Eukaryota; Metazoa; Chordata; Mammalia; Rodentia; Caviidae
Exons: 3
Source: RefSeq, a predicted model, not a curated record